This 468-nucleotide ribosomal RNA is filed under the name uncultured bacterium. Its description in RNAcentral is "partial 16S ribosomal RNA". It matches the Rfam family "Bacterial small subunit ribosomal RNA", at positions 28 to 507 of the family's 1533-position model. The record is from RNAcentral.
GACGAACGCUGGCGGCGUGCUUAACACAUGCAAGUCGAACGGAAAGGCCCUGCUUUUGUGGGGUGCUCGAGUGGCGAACGGGUGAGUAACACGUGAGUAACCUGCCCUUGACUUUGGGAUAUCUUCAGGAAACUGGGGAUAAUACCGGAUAGGAGCUCCUGCUGCAUGGUGGGGGUUGGAAAGUUUCGGCGGCUGGGGCUAGACUCGCGGCUUAUCAGCUUGUUGGUGGGGUAGUGGCUUACCAAGGCCUUGACGGGUAGCCGGCCUGAGAGGGUGACCGGCCACAUGGGGACUGAGAGACGGCCCAGACGCCUACGGGAGGCAGCAGGGGGGAAUAUUACACAAUGGGCGGAAGCCUGAUGCAGCAACGCCGCGGGCGGGAUGACGGCCUUCGGGUUGUAAACCGCUUUCGGCUGUGACGAAGCGUGAGUGACGGUAAUGGGUAAAGAAGCACCGGCUAACUACGUG